Molecule: ribosomal RNA, 301 nt
Filed under: uncultured bacterium
Lineage: Bacteria
Description: partial 16S ribosomal RNA
Rfam family: Bacterial small subunit ribosomal RNA
Source: RNAcentral
CAGCCGCCACGGUAAUACGUAGGUGGCAAGCGUUGUCCGGAAUUAUUGGGCGUAAAGGGCUCGCAGGCGGUUUCUUAAGUCUGAUGUGAAAGCCCCCGGCUCAACCGGGGAGGGUCAUUGGAACCUGGGAAACUUGAGUGCAGAAGAGGAGAGUGGAAUUCCACGUGUAGCGGUGAAAUGCGUAGAGAUGUGGAGGAACACCAGUGGCGAAGGCGACUCUCUGGUCUGUAACUGACGCUGAGGAGCGGAAGCGUGGGGAGCGAACAGGAUUAGAUACCCGUGUAGUCCCUGUCUCUUAUAC